This 440-nucleotide ribosomal RNA is filed under the name uncultured bacterium. Its description in RNAcentral is "partial 16S ribosomal RNA". It matches the Rfam family "Bacterial small subunit ribosomal RNA", at positions 338 to 795 of the family's 1533-position model. The record is from RNAcentral.
CCUACGGGCGGCAGCAGUGGGGAAUAUUGCACAAUGGGGGAAACCCUGAUGCAGCGACGCCGCGUGAGUGAAGAAGUAUCUCGGUAUGUAAAGCUCUAUCAGCAGGGAAGAAAAUGACGGUACCUGACUAAGAAGCCCCGGCUGACUACGUGCCAGCAGCCGCGGUAAUACGUAGGGGGCAAGCGUUAUCCGGAUUUAUUGGGUGUAAAGGGGGCGUAGACGGCAGCGCAAGUCUGGAGUGAAAUGCCGGGGCCCAACCCCGGGACUGCUUGGGAAACUGUGCAGCUCGAGUGCAGGAGAGGUAAGCGGAAUUACUAGUGUAGCGGUGAAAUGCGUAGAUAUUAGGAGGAACACCGGUGGCGAAGGCAGCUUACUGGACUGUAACUGACGUUGAGGCUCGAAAGCGUGGGGAGCGAACAGGAUUAGAUACCCCAGUAGUC